Molecule: ribosomal RNA, 692 nt
Filed under: uncultured bacterium
Lineage: Bacteria
Description: bacterial SSU rRNA
Rfam family: Bacterial small subunit ribosomal RNA
Source: RNAcentral
AACGCUAGCUACAGGCUUAACACAUGCAAGUCGAGGGGCAGCAUAAAAGUAGCAAUACUUUGGUGGCGACCGGCGCACGGGUGAGUAACGCGUAUGCAACCUACCUAUCAGAGGGGGAUAACCCGGCGAAAGUCGGACUAAUACCGCAUAAAACAGGGGCACCGCAUGGUGCUAUUUGUUAAAAAUUUAUUGCUGAUAGAUGGGCAUGCGUUCCAUUAGGUAGUUGGGGAGGUAACGGCUCACCAAGCCUACGAUGGAUAGGGGAACUGAGAGGUUGGUCCCCCACACUGGUACUGAGACACGGACCAGACUCCUACGGGAGGCAGCAGUGAGGAAUAUUGGUCAAUGGGCGAGAGCCUGAACCAGCCAAGUCGCGUGAAGGAAGAAGGAUCUAUGGUUCGUAAACUUCUUUUGCAGGGGAAUAAAGUGCAGGACGUGUCCUGUUUUGUAUGUACCCUGAGAAUAAGGAUCGGCUAACUCCGUGCCAGCAGCCGCGGUAAUACGGAGGAUCCGAGCGUUAUCCGGAUUUAUUGGGUUUAAAGGGUGCGUAGGUGGUUUAAUAAGUCAGCGGUGAAAGUUUGCAGCUUAACUGUAAAAAUGCCGUUGAAACUGUUAGACUUGAGUGUAAAUGAGGUAGGCGGAAUGCGUGGUGUAGCGGUGAAAUGCUUAGAUAUCACGAAGAACUCCGAUUG